CGAAGGGGGCUAGCGUUGCUCGGAAUUACUGGGCGUAAAGGGAGCGUAGGCGGAUAGUUUAGUCAGAGGUGAAAGCCCAGGGCUCAACCUUGGAAUUGCCUUUGAUACUGGCUAUCUUGAGUACGGAAGAGGUAUGUGGAACUCCGAGUGUAGAGGUGAAAUUCGUAGAUAUUCGGAAGAACACCAGUGGCGAAGGCGACAUACUGGUCCGUUACUGACGCUGAGGCUCGAAAGCGUGGGGAGCAAACAGGAUUAGAUACCCUGGUAGUCCACGCCGUAAACGAUGAGUGCUAGUUGUCGGCAUGCAUGCAUGUCGGUGACGCAGCUAACGCAUUAAGCACUCCGCCUGGGGAGUACGGUCGCAAGAUUA
This 370-nucleotide ribosomal RNA is filed under the name uncultured organism. RNAcentral's name for it is "bacterial SSU rRNA". It matches the Rfam family "Bacterial small subunit ribosomal RNA", at positions 526 to 896 of the family's 1533-position model. The record is from RNAcentral.